RNAcentral lists this ribosomal RNA (614 nucleotides) under uncultured bacterium. RNAcentral describes it as "bacterial SSU rRNA". It matches the Rfam family "Bacterial small subunit ribosomal RNA", at positions 233 to 847 of the family's 1533-position model. The record is from RNAcentral.
GCGUUCCAUUAGCUUGUUGGCGGGGUAACGGCCCACCAAGGCAUCGAUGGAUAGGGGUUCUGAGAGGAAGGUCCCCCACAUUGGAACUGAGACACGGUCCAAACUCCUACGGGAGGCAGCAGUGAGGAAUAUUGGUCAAUGGGCGCUAGCCUGAACCAGCCAAGUAGCGUGAAGGAUGACUGCCCUAUGGGUUGUAAACUUCUUUUAUAUGGGAAUAAAGUGCAGUAUGUAUACUGCUUUGCAUGUACCUUAUGAAUAAGGAUCGGCUAACUCCGUGCCAGCAGCCGCGGUAAUACGGAGGAUCCGAGCGUUAUCCGGAUUUAUUGGGUUUAAAGGGAGCGUAGGCGGGUUGUUAAGUCAGUUGUGAAAGUUUGCGGCUCAACCGUAAAAUUGCAGUUGAUACUGGCAUCCUUGAGUACAGUAGAGGUAGGCGGAAUUCGUGGUGUAGCGGUGAAAUGCUUAGAUAUCACGAAGAACUCCGAUUGCGAAGGCAGCCUGCUGGACUGUAACUGACGCUGAUGCUCGAAAGUGUGGGUAUCAAACAGGAUUAGAUACCCUGGUAGUCCACACAGUAAACGAUGAAUACUCGCUGUUUGCGAUAUACAGUAAGCGGC